RNAcentral lists this ribosomal RNA (460 nucleotides) under uncultured bacterium. Its description in RNAcentral is "partial 16S ribosomal RNA". It matches the Rfam family "Bacterial small subunit ribosomal RNA", at positions 338 to 795 of the family's 1533-position model. The record is from RNAcentral.
CCUACGGGAGGCAGCAGUGAGGAAUAUUGGUCAAUGGGCGCGAGCCUGAACCAGCCAAGUAGCGUGAAGGAUGACUGCCCUACGGGUUGUAAACUUCUUUUAUAAAGGAAUAAAGUGAGGCACGUGUGCCUUUUUGUAUGUACUUUAUGAAUAAGGAUCGGCUAACUCCGUGCCAGCAGCCGCGGUAAUACGGAGGAUCCGAGCGUUAUCCGGAUUUAUUGGGUUUAAAGGGAGCGUAGAUGGGUUGUUAAGUCAGUUGUGAAAGUUUGCGGCUCAACCGUAAAAUUGCAAUUGCUACUGGCAGUCCUGAGGACAGUUGAGGUAGGCGGAAUUCGUGGUGUAGCGGUGAAAUGCUUAGAUAUCACGAAGAAGUCAGAUUGCGAAGGCAGCGUACUAAACUGCCACUGACAUUGAUGCUCGAAAGUGUGGGUAUCAAACAGGAUUAGAUACCCUUGUAGUC